This 839-nucleotide ribosomal RNA is filed under the name uncultured archaeon. RNAcentral describes it as "bacterial SSU rRNA". It matches the Rfam family "Archaeal small subunit ribosomal RNA", at positions 21 to 859 of the family's 1478-position model. The record is from RNAcentral.
AGGUUACUGCUAUCGGUGUUCGCCUAAGCCAUGCGAGUCAUAUGUUCUUCGUGAACAUGGCGUACUGCUCAGUAACACGUGGAUAACCUGCCCUUGGGUCCGGCAUAACCCCGGGAAACUGGGGAUAAUUCCGGAUAACGCACAUAUGCUGGAAUGCUUUAUGCGUCAAAUGGAUUCGUCCGCCCAAGGAUGGGUCUGCGGCCUAUCAGGUAGUAGUGGGUGUAAUGUACCUACUAGCCUACGGCGGGUACGGGUUGUGAGAGCAAGAGCCCGGAGAUGGAUUCUGAGACAUGAAUCCAGGCCCUACGGGGCGCAGCAGGCGCGAAAACUUUACAAUGCGGGAAACCGUGAUAAGGGGACACCGAGUGCCAGCAUCAUAUGCUGGCUGUCCGGGUGUGUAAAAUACACCUGUUAGCAAGGGCCGGGCAAGACCGGUGCCAGCCGCCGCGGUAACACCGGCGGCCCGAGUGGUGAUCGUGAUUAUUGGGUCUAAAGGGUCCGUAGCCGGUUUGGUCAGUCCUCCGGGAAAUCUGACGGCUUAACCGUUAGGCUUUCGGGGGAUACUGCCAGACUUGGAACCGGGAGAGGUAAGAGGUACUACAGGGGUAGGAGUGAAAUCUUGUAAUCCCUGUGGGACCACCUGUGGCGAAGGCGUCUUACCAGAACGGGUUCGACGGUGAGGGACGAAAGCUGGGGGCACGAACCGGAUUAGAUACCCGGGUAGUCCCAGCCGUAAACGAUGCUCGCUAGGUGUCAGGCAUGGCGCGACCGUGUCUGGUGCCGCAGGGAAGCCGUGAAGCGAGCCACCUGGGAAGUACGGCCGCAAGGCUGAAACUUAA